CCUACGGGUGGCAGCAGUAGGGAAUUUUGCGCAAUGGGGGAAACACUGAAGCAGCAACGCCGCGUGAUCGAUGAAGCCCUUCGGGGGGUAAAGAUCUGUCAGUGGGGACGAAACCUGACGGUACCCACAGAGGAAGCACCGGCUAACUCCGUGCCAGCAGCCGAGGUAAUGCGGGGGGUGCAAGCGUUGUCCGGAAUCAUUGGGCGUACAGAGUUCGUAGGGGGCACGUGAAGUCUGGUGUGAAAGGCGGAAGCUCAACUUCCGUAGGGCAAUGGAUAAUGGCGAGCUUGAAUGCGGUAGAGGUAAAGGGAAUGCCUGGUGUAGCGGUGAAAUGCGUAGAUAUCAGGAGGAACAUCGGUGGCGUAAGCGCUUUACGGGGCCGUAAUUGACACUGAGGAACGAAAGCCGGGGUAGCAAAUGGGAUUAGAUACCCCUGUAGUC
RNAcentral lists this ribosomal RNA (441 nucleotides) under uncultured bacterium. Its description in RNAcentral is "partial 16S ribosomal RNA". It matches the Rfam family "Bacterial small subunit ribosomal RNA", at positions 338 to 795 of the family's 1533-position model. The record is from RNAcentral.